AGAUGUUCCCUAGAGGUGGGCGUGGCUACCGCUAUCCCACAGGACGUGGAAUGCCUGAUCCUGGCAUGCAUGGUGUUGGGGCUGUGAUGCCAUCUCCAUAUGAGAUGGGUGGGAUGCCAAUUAGAGAUGCUGGUGUGUCACAACCUGUUCCAAUUGGGGCCCUUGCCACUGCUCUUGCUAACGCACCACCGGAUCAGCAGAGGCUGGUAUGAUAUCGAGCCUGCGAUUUGUUGGUUGGACUUUUUUGUUAAUGAAGGGCUGAUGGUGACUUUGUAAUGUUUGUUGUAGAUGCUUGGUGAGAACCUGUAUCCUCUAGUUGACCAGCUGGAGCAUGAGCAGGCUGCCAAGGUGACUGGCAUGCUUUUGGAGAUGGAUCAGACAGAGGUCCUGCACCUGCUGGAGUCCCCAGAUGCUCUCAAGGCCAAGGUUGCUGAAGCCAUGGAGGUCCUCCGCUCUGCCCAGCAUCUUCAGCAGACCAACGCCUCCCCUGAGCAGCAGCUGGCCAAUCUGUCGCUGAAUGACGGCGUCGUCUCCAGUUGAAUGUCUCCGAUGACUGAGUGAUCGAAGACUGCUGGCAAUUUUUGCUUGAUACCAUCCUAUCUAGAGUGCAAUGACUUGGUUUGCU
RNAcentral lists this long non-coding RNA (625 nucleotides) under Setaria italica (foxtail millet). Its description in RNAcentral is "long non-coding RNA (SITA_LNC001167)". The record is from RNAcentral. Lineage: Eukaryota; Viridiplantae; Streptophyta; Magnoliopsida; Poales; Poaceae.